CACGUAGGGCGCAAGCGUUGUCCGGAAUUAUUGGGCGUAAAGAGCUCGUAGGCGGUCUGUUGCGUCUGCUGUGAAAACCCGGGGCUUAACCCCUGGCUUGCAGUGGAUACGGACAGACUAGAGGUAGGUAGGGGAGAAUGGAAUUCCCGGUGUAGCGGUGAAAUGCGCAGAUAUCGGGAGGAACACCGGUGGCGAAGGCGGUUCUCUGGGCCUUACCUGACGCUGAGGAGCGAAAGCGUGGGGAGCGAACGGG
RNAcentral lists this ribosomal RNA (253 nucleotides) under uncultured bacterium. RNAcentral's name for it is "partial 16S ribosomal RNA". It matches the Rfam family "Bacterial small subunit ribosomal RNA", at positions 524 to 776 of the family's 1533-position model. The record is from RNAcentral.